This is a long non-coding RNA of Bubalus bubalis (water buffalo), 2681 nucleotides long. RefSeq lists it as uncharacterized. The record is from RefSeq and is a predicted model, not a curated record. The transcript is spliced from 2 exons. NCBI's taxonomy places the organism in Eukaryota, Metazoa, Chordata, Mammalia, Artiodactyla, Bovidae.
GAGCCGUGGAGGGGGGAGGAGGAGUCACGAGGAGGGUGGCCAGGCCGAGCCCUCUGCCCUCCGCCCCAGCCCGCACUUCGGUUCGACUCAGCCACGCGCCUUGCUCCUCACCGUUCUCCUGCUUUCUUCGGGACUCCGGAGGCCAACGCAAUGAGUGACGCUCUCUGGACACUUGGGAGAAUUGAUUGUCCUCCUCCUACUAUUGUGCUUGCCCAACCAAUACUUACUGAUGCCCGCGAAGUCCUGGGGCACAAGGGGCACAAAACUGGAACUACCUUGGAUCCUGCCUGCCCUCAAGGUGCCCCAAGGUUAAUGCAGAUCGGACCUCUGAGAUCUGACUCCUCUUCCUCCCCACCCAGUAUCUUCUUGAGUAAUUCCAUCACCCCGUGGAACAUUGCAUCUUGUGUGAUCUCCUUCAGAUCAGAGACCAAAGGAAUUAAUAAUGAAAGCUGACCAGAACAAAUGCUUGUCACCAAAAUAUGGGAAAACUAGAGGAAUUUUACUCUUCACAGGGAGGCUUUAGAAUUGGAAAUUUAACCAAAAAGGGUCCUUAUCUUAACGGGGACAUGGGUGGUGGUAUUGAUCUUUCAAGGAAACUUUCUUGAUUAUGAAGGGAAAGCAGGUAUGCAAAUCUAUUAGUUGGUUUUGUCUGAAUCUCGAAGUUAAAGCUAGGACAUCCUUAGAGGUCAUCUAGUGCAACCUCUCACCUAAAAAGAAUCCACUGUAUAGCGUUUCUGAGGCUGCAUGCAAGACUUGCAGCAUACAUUUCAGUAGGGCCCAGGAAAGAGAGCUCACUAUCUCAACAGGCAAACAAUUCCACUGUAGUAAAAUUUGGCAUAGAAGUCUCUUAUUCAGGCCAAAAAUCACACUCCUUGGAGCUUAUACACCACAGUCUAUUAGCAGUGGUCAUCUUUUUUAUGACAGCACCUCAGAUACUGGAUUACAGUCUUCAUUACCCAGUCUUCUCUGUUCCACAUUAAACAUACUUUAACCAGGCCUUCUACAGUAAUGUCCAAUAGCACUUGUGUGAUCACAGAAAUGUUCCACAUCUAUACUGCUCAACAUAGUAGCCAGUGUGGAUUGAGCACUUAAAUUGCUGCUAGUGUGACUCAGGAACUGAAUUUUUAAUUUUACUUGCCAGAUGUGGCUAGUGGCCACCAUGCUGGACAAUACAGCUUUGUGGUUUCAAAUGUACUCUCCACAUUUAUAUGCAAUUGAGCUUGUCAACAUCCAUCAAAUGCCUGACACCUACAGUAAGGACCAGUAGAGCCUUCAGGGUGAUUGUUUAACACCUGGACAGUAUUUCUGUUAAUGCUUUCCAGAAUGGAAUUUUUAAAAAAAUAUACAGACUAUAAGUGGGUCACACUAACAGUCACUGGAACCAGUACUUUGUCAGCAAUCCCUAAGUGCCUAAACUUGUACAGCUGCAUUUUUAACCUAAAUGUAAGACUUGAUAUUUCAACUUUUUCGUUUAGGCCGUAAAGUUUAGGCACUCCCAAGUUGUGAAUCAUUUUCAAGCUCAUCUCAAUAUAGUCUACCAACCAGCCCUCCAACUCUGUGGCAAUUAGAGAAUUAGCAUUACUACCAUCUGACCCAUAUGUAGUCCUUUACAAUUUGCAAGGUACUUUUUACAUCCAUUAUAUUUAAUUUAAUCCUUAGAACACCUUGUGAGAUAGGCAAGAUAUGAAAUCUACAUUUUACAGAUAAGGCAGCUGGAACAGCAGGAACUGAACAGAUCAGAUCCUUUUUUUACUCCACUGAGCAUCAUGUAUACUGUCUUCAUCCAGAUCCUUGAUAGAAAUGUUGAAGAGGACCUGCAGAGGCCAGGCUCACCCUGAACUCUUACAUAGCACUGACUGAUACAGCAGUGUAAGCAUAUCAGUUCCCCCCAAGAGUCUGAUUAUCCAACUCACAGGUUGCCAUUUUUCAAAAGGAUGGUACAGGAGACAAUCAUCUGAUUUACAUAAUUAUUAAUACCAGUCUCAUUAGGGAAAAAAGCAAAUAAGGGUUGGCUGCCAGAAAAAAUUUCUACUUGCCUGUCCACAAAGGGACUACGACACCAACUGCUUAAAGAAGCCAUGUCUCCCUCUCUUCCAAAACCCCCCACGAGGCCAUGUUUUGUUAUUAUUUAUCGUUCUUAGCACAUCCUAUCCCACAUUGUGAUUAUAUACAUGUCUUAUAGUUAACUUCAAGUCAUUCAUCUUUAUAAUACUCAGCCCACUGCUGUCCCUGUAGGAGGCACUCAAACUGGUAAAAGAUAAACCAAUUCAAGUAAAUGUUCUUCCAGCCAUAUCUGAUUCCCCUACAAAAACAAACCUGUGACUGGAAGAGACAGACCACUGCCAUAUUCCUGCCACUGUGACUAAUUAAGAUGCCCUUAUAAUUGGCUUGGUCACAGCUUCCAGCAGGUGCUGAGGCUUCUGCUAGUUAAAAACCAGCUUUCAUUGUAUGGUUUUCUCUGUGUGUUUUAACCAAAAAAUAAGGACAUUUCUGUAACACUGGGGACAAAGUACAUGAAAUAGGGCUACUUCUUAAUAAUGCUAAUCAAUCAAUAAGGCAAAGAAGUGAAGAACAACACAAAAACAUCUGACUGUAGGUCUUCCAAGAAAGGAAAAAGGACUAACAAACAAGAAUAUAGUGCUUUACCAUUUACAAAUCUUUCAUAUACAUUCCAUUUGACC